This 250-nucleotide unclassified non-coding RNA is filed under the name plant metagenome. RNAcentral's name for it is "partial contains small subunit ribosomal RNA, internal transcribed spacer 1, and 5.8S ribosomal RNA". The stretch from base 1 to 53 matches the Rfam family "Eukaryotic small subunit ribosomal RNA", at positions 1778 to 1831 of the family's 1831-position model. The record is from RNAcentral.
GGAAGUAAAAGUGUAACAAGGUCUCCGUAGGUGAACCGGCGGAGGGAUCAUUACAGAGUUCUCGCCCUCGCGGGUAGAUCUCCCACCCACUGUUAUCGUUACUGUGUUGCUUUGGCGGGCCGCCGGGCCCCGCUCGGCCGCCGGCUCCGGCUGGCGCGCGUCCGCCAGAGGCCCAGCAAACUCUGAAUGUUAGUGUCGUCUGAGUACUAUAUAAUAGUUAAAACUUUCAACAACGGAUCUCUUGGUUCUG